Molecule: ribosomal RNA, 441 nt
Filed under: uncultured bacterium
Lineage: Bacteria
Description: bacterial SSU rRNA
Rfam family: Bacterial small subunit ribosomal RNA
Source: RNAcentral
GAUGAACGCUGGCGGCGCGCUUAGCACAUGCAAGUCGAACGAAGCACUUUGGACAGAUUCUUCGGAUGAAGUCCUUGGUGACUGAGUGGCGGACGGGUGAGUAACGCGUGGGUAACCUGCCUCAUACAGGGGGAUAACAGUUAGAAAUGGCUGCUAAUACCGCAUAAGCGCACGGUACUGCAUGGUACAGUGUGAAAAACUCCGGUGGUAUGAGAUGGACCCGCGUUGGAUUAGCUAGUUGGCAGGGUAACGGCCUACCAAGGCGACGAUCCAUAGCCGGCCUGAGAGGGUGGACGGCCACAUUGGGACUGAGACACGGCCCAGACUCCUACGGGAGGCAGCAGUGGGGAAUAUUGCACAAUGGGGGAAACCCUGAUGCAGCGACACCGCGUGAGCGAAGAAGUAUUUCGGUAUGUAAAGCUCUAUCAGCAGGGAAGAAAA